UAGGGAAUCUUCCACAAUGGGCGAAAGCCUGAUGGAGCAACGCCGCGUGNGUGAUGAAGGGUUUCGGCUCGUAAAACACUGUUGUAAGAGAAGAAUGACAUUGAGAGUAACUGUUCAAUGUGUGACGGUAUCUUACCAGAAAGGAACGGCUAAAUACGUGCCAG
Molecule: ribosomal RNA, 164 nt
Filed under: uncultured bacterium
Lineage: Bacteria
Description: partial 16S ribosomal RNA
Rfam family: Bacterial small subunit ribosomal RNA
Source: RNAcentral